Molecule: long non-coding RNA, 547 nt
Organism: Gopherus evgoodei (Goodes thornscrub tortoise)
Lineage: Eukaryota; Metazoa; Chordata; Testudines; Testudinidae
Exons: 2
Source: RefSeq, a predicted model, not a curated record
CCCAGUAAAAACAGGGAGGCAGGUGGUUGGUUUUGGUCAUUUAUAGUUUGACAUGGUGCUGGGAGCCGGUUACCAACACCCCAGCGAAGAAACGUCCCUCCCCCCGCCCGGUGAGCAGGAUGACCCCCAGCAGGGGGUGAGAGAGAAGCCCGGGGGGGGGAGGGAGGGAGAGGGCAGGACAGGAGCCGCCCCCGCUCCCCCCGUGUCUGGCUUUGCCUCAGAGUCAGGACCAUACACCCCACAUCCCACCUCCCCACAGGGGCCCCCGAAUGAACCCGAUCUCCCCCUGGCCCCACUCAGGCGGGUGGUGGGGGCAACAGGAGCCUGGGGGUGCACCCCCCAGAGGAGCAGCCACACACUGUGGGGGGGUCAAUUAGCCACUCCUCCUCCCUUCCUGGGGGGAGGGGUUUUGGGGGGCAGACAGGACCCUGCCCCAGCUGUCAAUCACCUCAUGCCCCACCCCAGGUCAAAGGUCACUGAUGGACACAGGCCCCACCCCCUCAGGAGGCUAGUUCUCAUUCUUUUCAAUCAGGAGAAGAAAAACAAA